AGGUGAUCCACCUGCCUCGGCCUCCCAGUGUUGGGAUUAUGGGUGUGGGCCACCAUGCCCGGCCUCACUCUCCUGAUUUUAAGGACACAGUCCACAGCUAUGUUGUUGAGGUUAACCAGGAUAAAGACAGGGUGACUAAGGGCGUGGGCUCUGGAUUUCAAGAGCCCUCCUCCUCCACCUACUUUCUAGGUGACCUUGAGCAAAUUAUUCAGUUGCUAUGUGCUUGGAUUUCUUACCUGUAUGAUGCAGUUAAUGGUCGUCCUACCUCACAGGAUUAUUUUGGGGAUUAAAACUCAGACGGGCAGGUGAGAAGUCCAACUUCCCUGCUGGGAAACCACACAGUAGACCUGAGACUCCAUGGAGAGGAAGAGGCGCCCACCUGAGCCCAGCCUUCCAGCCGUCCCUGCCAUGGUGCCAGGCAUACGAGUGAAGCUGUCUGACCCACCUCCCCUGUGACCUGACCCAGCCACUAGCCAAACACCAUGAAGUAACACCAGUCAAUGUCAUGCGGUGCAGAAGAAUUGCUCAAGCUGUUGUGGACAUGUGCCUGCACACACUGGGUCUGCAGUGUCAGAGGAGCAGUGCCGCUGGGUCAUCUGUCAGUGUUCUGAGCAACUGGACUAGGAGCUCUGGUGGAGGUGGGAGCAGAGAAGGUAGGUGGGUGUUUAAAUUUACCAGGACAACGCUGGGUAACUGACAAAAUAUUGACUGUCGUCCUUCCGUACCCUCCUCCUGCUCCUCUGUAGCAAUCCUUCCAGGGUCUCUGAGAAGAGCCCGUUCCUCACUUAGGACACCUCCUUUUAGGACUAGCUUCUUCUGGCCUUGCAUUUCCCCAAUCACUCUGAAUCGCUCCCACUUCAUGUUAAGAGGUCCCAGCUGUGUCCACCUGGGACUGAGUUCCAAGACAC
Long non-coding RNA from Cercocebus atys (sooty mangabey), 908 nucleotides. RefSeq lists it as uncharacterized. Lineage: Eukaryota; Metazoa; Chordata; Mammalia; Primates; Cercopithecidae. The record is from RefSeq and is a predicted model, not a curated record. The transcript has 3 exons.